Molecule: transfer RNA, 79 nt
Filed under: Solanum commersonii (Commerson's wild potato)
Lineage: Eukaryota; Viridiplantae; Streptophyta; Magnoliopsida; Solanales; Solanaceae
Also listed under: 1 other name
Rfam family: tRNA
About the family: Transfer RNA (tRNA) molecules are approximately 80 nucleotides in length. Their secondary structure includes four short double-helical elements and three loops (D, anti-codon, and T loops).
Source: Rfam by way of RNAcentral
AUCUUGGUGGUGAAAUGAUACACACAAGACUCAAAAUCUCAUGCUUAAGAGGGUGGAGGUUCGAGUCCUCUUCAAGGCA